CAGGCCUAACACAUGCAAGUCGAACGGUAGCACAGAGGAGCUUGCUCCUUGGGUGACGAGUGGCGGACGGGUGAGUAAUGUCUGGGAAACUGCCCGAUGGAGGGGGAUAACUACUGGAAACGGUAGCUAAUACCGCAUAACGUCUUCGGACCAAAGUGGGGGACCUUCGGGCCUCACACCAUCGGAUGUGCCCAGAUGGGAUUAGCUAGUAGGUGGGGUAAUGGCUCACCUAGGCGACGAUCCCUAGCUGGUCUGAGAGGAUGACCAGCCACACUGGAACUGAGACACGGUCCAGACUCCUACGGGAGGCAGCAGUGGGGAAUAUUGCACAAUGGGCGCAAGCCUGAUGCAGCCAUGCCGCGUGUAUGAAGAAGGCCUUCGGGUUGUAAAGUACUUUCAGCGGGGAGGAAGGCGAUGUGGUUAAUAACCGCAUCGAUUGACGUUACCCGCAGAAGAAGCACCGGCUAACUCCGUGCCAGCAGCCGCGGUAAU
RNAcentral lists this ribosomal RNA (492 nucleotides) under uncultured bacterium. Its description in RNAcentral is "bacterial SSU rRNA". It matches the Rfam family "Bacterial small subunit ribosomal RNA", at positions 43 to 524 of the family's 1533-position model. The record is from RNAcentral.